AGCUCCAGAAGUAUACACUUAAGUUGUUGCGGUUGAAAAGCUCCUAGUUGGAACUGACGGAUCGGGGCGCUGGUACUGUCGAGCACGCACCCUUCGGGGGGCGGAGCCCGGCCCGGCGUCCGGCAGAUCCGAGCAGCGAGCUUGUUGGCCGGUCGCGGCUCUCCUUCACCGGACGGCCCGGCCAGGAUGGCCAUUGAGACGAUAUUACUUUGAAAAAAUUAGAGUGUUCAAAGCAGGCCUUCGAGGCCCGGAUAACGAUGCACAGAAUAGCGGAAGAGGGCUUCCUUCUUGACCGCUGGCGACAUGACACGAGCGAGGCAAUGAUCGAGAGGGACGGACGAGGGCAUUCGUACCGCGCCGUUAGAGGUGAAAUUCUUGGAUCGGCGCGAGACGAACUGAG
Molecule: ribosomal RNA, 400 nt
Filed under: phytoplankton environmental sample
Lineage: Eukaryota
Description: partial small subunit ribosomal RNA
Rfam family: Eukaryotic small subunit ribosomal RNA
Source: RNAcentral